GAUGAACGCUGGCGGCGUGCCUAAUACAUGCAAGUCGAGCGAACAGACGAGGAGCUUGCUCCUCUGACGUUAGCGGCGGACGGGUGAGUAACACGUGGAUAACCUACCUAUAAGACUGGGAUCACUUCGGGAAACCGGAGCUAAUACCGGAUAAUCUAUUGAACCGCAUGGUUCAAUAGUGAAAGACGGUUUUGCUGUCACUUCUAGAUGGAUCCGCGCCGCAUUAGCUAGUUGGUAAGGUAACGGCUUACCAAGGGAACGAUGCGUAGCCGACCUGAGAGGGGGGUCGGCCACACGGGAAGUGAGACACGGACCAGACUCCUACGGGAGGCAGCAGUAGGGAAGCUGACGCAAUGGGCGAAAGCCUGACAGAGCAACGCCGCGUGAGUGAUGAAGGUCUUCGGAUCGUAAAACUCUGUUAUUAGGGAAGAACAAAUGUGUAAGUAACUAUGCACGUCUUGACGGUACCUAAUCAGAAAGCCACGGCUAACUACGUG
Molecule: ribosomal RNA, 497 nt
Filed under: uncultured bacterium
Lineage: Bacteria
Description: partial 16S ribosomal RNA
Rfam family: Bacterial small subunit ribosomal RNA
Source: RNAcentral